Molecule: long non-coding RNA, 4125 nt
Filed under: Sinocyclocheilus anshuiensis
Lineage: Eukaryota; Metazoa; Chordata; Actinopteri; Cypriniformes; Cyprinidae
Description: lncRNA (ENSSANG00000035827.1)
Source: RNAcentral
AUGUUGCUUUCAGUCUCUCAGAUUCUCUCUUUAUUCUCCAGUACAAAUUCUCUAAUAUCCAUGUUUCUUCAGAGGAAGAGCAGUUCUCCAGAGACGGAGGAGAAAGUGAAGAGGUUGAGGAAGAAGAACACCGAACUCGCUGUCAUCGCCAAACGUUUGGAGGAGAGAGCGCGGAAACUACAGGAAGCCAACCUGAAAGUGGGUCCUGUGGGAGUCAGUGAGUUUGAGCGUCUCCUGAAGGAGUCUCAGAAGGAGGUGUUGCGUCUGCAGAGGCAGCUGUCUGUCACCUCCACCAGAGACCAGAGCAGUGUGACGGCAGAAAACCCUUCAGAGAAUCAGGGCCGAGACAGCAGGGUGAGAGCAAAAACACGCCCAUGUUUCCCAACACUGAGCAAAAACAUCAGCAUCUCUGAUGAAAGUGAGUUGGGCAAGAAGAGGAAAGAAUGUGAAGUUCUUGAGCAUGAGGUGCGGAAGAGACAGAAACGAUGUCUUGAUUUGGAGAACCAGCUAGUGGACGAGCACAGCAGAAAUGAGCACUUAGUGGAGGAGGCAGAACUCCUCAGGAGAAAGUCGCAGGCUGAAAAUGAGGAGCUAAAGGAACAGCUCUGUGUUUUGAACGCUCAGCAUAGUUCAGUUCUGGAGGAGAACCAGCGACUCCGUGCAAAGCUGGAGAACCUAGAGCAGGUCCUAAAGCACAUGCGAGACGUCGCCGAGCGCAGGCAGCAGCUGGAAUUGGAGCAUGAGCAGGCACUGGCUAUCCUCAAGUUCAAACAGGAUGAAAUCAAGCGACUCCAGCGGGCUCAAUUAUUUGCUAAAAGAGAACAUGAAGGUGUCGUGCAGAUGCUGGAGGUGAGUUUUACAUCUCAUUGCUUUGCAAAAGUUCGUGAGCUGGAGGAGAAAUGCCGCAGUCAGAGCGAGCAGUUCGGGAUGCUGUCACAGGAACUGGACAAAUUCAGGGUUCAGGCCUCAAAGAUCGACCUGUCGGACCCCAGCCCGACCCAGCUGACCAAUGGGGUCGGCCUGUCCGGUGAGACUAAAAUACCGAUCAUUACACGACACAUAACAGAUGUCCCUACGCCACCCAGAUCUGAGACAACUCACCUUUCUCCCAAAUCUGCCAGCCCCCGAAAGGUGGACACUGCUAGUGAAGUUGAGGAGCUGGAUAUUGAUGUUUCUCCGGCGCUGUAUUCAGUCAGUAAAGGAGCAGCGAAACUCCAGGUCUUCAUCGCACGGUACAGUUACAAUCCCUAUGAUGGUCCUAAUGAUAACCCAGAGGUCGAGUUGCCCCUCACAGCAGGAGAGUACAUUUACGUCUACGGAGACAUGGAUGAUGAUGGCUUUUAUGAGGGCGAGCUGAUGGACGGCAGAAGAGGCCUCGUUCCCUCCAACUUUGUGGAGCGCGUGUCAGAUGAUGACUUCAUGAGCUCACACCCUCACCAGGCUGGCGAUAUGUCCCAUAAUUCCAUCCAGGAGAGCAGCUUCCACAGCGGCAGCGAGCGGCUGCACCAACACCACUUACGCUUCGCCCACAGCGCCUCCGAGAGGACGGAGACCUCCACGACAGCCUCGGCUCCUGAGGAGGUUGGGGUGGACACUGUGCCUUACCCUCGCAAGCUAGCGCUAAUCAAGCAGUUAGCCAAGAGUGUCAUCAUCGGCUGGGAGUCUCCGCUGGUCCCGGCCGGCUGGGGUUCUGUGUUUAGCUAUAAUGUCUACAUAGACCAUGAGUUGCGACACAACGUGCCAUUUGGUACCCAAACGAAGGCUGUUCUGGAGAGGCUAGAUUUGGCACAGAAGGCGUAUCGGAUUGCGGUGCAGUGCCUCACGGAGCGAGGCAACUCGGAUCAGCUGCGUUGCAGUAUACUAGUCGGACGGGACGUGAACGUAGCGCCGACUCACCUGUGCGUUGAACGCAUAACGGCUACCUCGGCCAGCCUAACCUGGCUGCCUAGCAACAGUAACUAUGUGCACAUUGUGUCUUUAAACGACGAGGAGUGUGAGCUGGUAAAGGCGGGAUGCUAUUCACUGUGCCUCAGCAACCUCACACCCAACAUGCAUUACAACGUUAAAGUGGAGGCCAGGCCGCACCGCACAGCCUGGGAACUACCGCCGGAGUGCCGAGAACGCAAAACCGCAGUGACCUCUUUCACAACCCAGACUGCAGGUCCUCCUGAUGCUCCUCUGGAUGUGCAGUUGGAGCAGGGCCCAUCUCCGGGAAUAGCUCAGAUCAGCUGGCUGCCCGUUACUAUAGAUGCUGCUGGGACGUCCAAUGGUGUACGAGUCACUGGCUACACCAUCUACGCUGACAAGAAGAAGGUAUUAGAGGUGUCGUCACCCACAGCAGGCAGCGCUCUGAUUGGUCCAUCUCAGAUCCAAACAUUACAGGCGGCCCGUGAGCUCACCGUGCGGACCAUGUCAGCUUUUGGUGAGUCAGUGGACUCAUUGCCGGUGAAUGUGCCCGCCAAAUUGCCUGCCAUCAUGUCCGGUGCCUCAUUGCCUCAAUGCCAGUCUGUGCCAGCCACCGCCAGUGUCCUCACGGCCAGUGCCAACCCAGAUCCUGUGAGUGUAUCUACACGCAUGGUUACACCUGCACCCGUGGUCGUGCCUGUGCCUGUUGCUACUCCAACAUCCAUGGCCGUACCUGCUCCCUUGACCACACCAGGACCCAUGCCCACACCAGUGUCCAUGACAGUGCCAGGUCCUGUAGUUCUGCCGGCACCUGCCACCAUGCCUGUGCCCAUGGCUGCGCCCAUACCUGCACCUACACAUGCACCUAUUGUUGAACCUGCAUCAGUGCCAGUGCAGUCUAGUGUGGCUCCUGCUGUGCAGAACCCAAGCAGAGAGACAGACAGCCCAGGAGGCCUGCGUCCUGUUGCCUCCCUCUCCGACUUCUUGGAGGACCCACGUGCCAAACUUCACACACCACCACCACCCACCAUACUUGUCAUUUACGUUCUUCUGUUCUUAUAUUUCCUAUGUUGCAUUUUAAUUUUCUUGUUUCUUUUCCUUGUUUUGUUCUAUUUUCCACUUUUGACACCAAUCAAACCUUUGCCUCCUCUGUAUGUUCUCGAUCUUUCACCUUGCUCGUUUUCUACUCUGUCUGCAUUGUGGGAACCUGACAGCGAUGAAGAAAUUUUGGAGAGGAUUAUAAAGCUCCCCCCUCAAGCCUACCGCAACAAGCAGCUCUUUAGCAUCCCAGAAGUCACGGACGAAGAAGACAACACUGAAUCUGAACCCCACACUAGGUCUUCCCCAGGCCGGACUACUUCUGGCAAGGGCCGCCAGAGUGGACAUGAGGGUCGUCGACAUUCCCCCCACCAUCGCAAUCAGGGACAUAAAAUGGAAUCUGAUUCACCCAUAGUGAGGUACAAAGGGACUGUGCCAGUCAGGACUAGACCCAGAGUGCACUACGCUGACACGGUGGACACCAUCAACUAUCUGGAUGAGGAGGAGGUGGAUUUGUGUUUGCUCUUUGGUGUUGCAGAGCCCAGAGCAUCUGGAGAAAAUGAGGUGAGAGUCUUUGUUGCCCUCUUCCCAUAUGAUCCUGCAGUCAUGUCACCCAAUCCUGAUGCUGCUGAAGAAGAGCUUCCCUUUAAAGAAGGCCAGAUUAUCAAGGUUUAUGGGGACAAAGAUGCAGAUGGUUUCUACUGGGGUGAGGCGGGUGGCCAUCGUGGCUAUGUGCCGUGUAAUAUGGUUUCAGAGAUCCAGGUUGAUGAUGAGGAGACCAGAGACCAGCUCCUGAUGCAGGGCUUCCUCUCCACAGAGGCUUCAAUGGAUAAGAUAGGUGCGUUUAUCGGCGCAUGCGUCAGACUCCUUCCACGCCGUCCCGCUGCACCGCCGAAACCUAGACGCUCCAAGAAAGGUGUGUGUCAGCGCUCGCUGUCUCCUCCUGCUCUCCGAGAUUUCACCUGCGUUUGCUCCAGACCUCGCAGGAUGGUGGCCAUCUUUGACUACGACCCGAGAGAGAGUUCUCCCAAUGCAGACAUAGAGGCUGAACUGACCUUCAGCACGGGCGACAUCAUCUAUGUGUUCGGUGACAUGGAAGAUGACGGCUUCUACUAUGUGAGUUUCUUUCGUGCCUGUCUGUCUGUUAGUAUAUUCAUAAUAAAUAGGAGUUUUGUGCAAUGA